CCCUUAGAUGUUCUGGGCCGCACGCGCGCUACACUGACGAAUGCAACGAGUUUAUAACCUUGGCCGAAAGGUCUGGGUAAUCUCCAAAUUUCGUCGUGAUGGGGAUAGAUUAUUGCAAUUAUUAAUCUUCAACGAGGAAUGCCUAGUAAGCGCAAGUCAUCAGCUUGCGUUGAUUACGUCCCUGCCCUUUGUACACACCGCCCGUCGCUCCUACCGAUUGAAUGGUCCGGUGAAGCGCUCGGACCGCGGCCUCUUGACGGUUCGCUGUCGAUUGGCUGUGGGAAGUUCGUUAAACCUUAUCAUUUAGAGGAAGGAGAAGUCGUAACA
Molecule: ribosomal RNA, 327 nt
Filed under: uncultured eukaryote
Lineage: Eukaryota
Description: partial 18S ribosomal RNA
Rfam family: Eukaryotic small subunit ribosomal RNA
Source: RNAcentral